CGCUUUGGGUCCCGCCCGGGGAUGCUCCCGCCGCUCCCAGCCCGCCGGGUUACUCGGCUUCCCGCGGGCGCGUCCCGGACGCGCGCGCGCGCCCCCGGAUGCCCUGCCGAGGACCCGGUGCAGAGUAAGAGCUUUUGAAGAAAACUGCAUGCUUACCAGCAGGGACGACACAUGCCUUGAAAACUCCCUUGGGAAGGAGUCUGUGGAAGAGACUUAGCCACCUCUUGAGAAAUAAGGACAUCCCCCAGCGACAACGACAGGCACCUGCUUUUGGAGCUUGAGUUCAAAUGUUAACCUUGUUUGCAAGGAUACUAUUUAACUCUCAUAGGAAUUCCUAUUCCGAGGUCAUACUCAGGGCGUAGUUCUGCCUUGAGUGUUCAUGCCUCUGGUUCUUUACCGUCAACAAAGAAUGGGUUCACAUUGCCUGCGGUAUAGGGGGACUCCGGCACUGACACAGCAGCGAGUGGAUGACCGGAGAAUCCCGCUUCGUCCUUAUAGUUCAGCCUGCUUUCAAAGAGUCGUCCUGGAGUGAUCUUUAUUUGCAAAGCCCGCUUCACAUGAGUGGGAACCUCACUUUCUGAGAGCCUGGCUGGGUUCUCCU
Molecule: long non-coding RNA, 601 nt
Filed under: Rattus norvegicus (Norway rat)
Lineage: Eukaryota; Metazoa; Chordata; Mammalia; Rodentia; Muridae
Description: long non-coding RNA NONRATT018647
Source: RNAcentral